GCCGGAGUAGCUCAGUUGGUAGAGCAGAGGACUGAAAAUCCUCGUGUCAC
This 50-nucleotide transfer RNA is filed under the name Tortula bolanderi. RNAcentral describes it as "partial tRNA-Phe". It matches the Rfam family "tRNA", at positions 1 to 48 of the family's 71-position model. From Rfam's summary of the family: Transfer RNA (tRNA) molecules are approximately 80 nucleotides in length. Lineage: Eukaryota; Viridiplantae; Streptophyta; Bryopsida; Pottiales; Pottiaceae. The record is from RNAcentral. RNAcentral also lists the same sequence under 1 other name.